CCUGGCGGCACUAGCGCGGUGGUCCCACCUGACCCCAUGCCGAACUCAGAAGUGAAACGCCGUAGCGCCGAUGGUAGUGUGGGGUCUCCCCAUGUGAGAGUAGGGAACCGCCUUCA
Molecule: ribosomal RNA, 116 nt
Filed under: Klebsiella pneumoniae subsp. pneumoniae
Lineage: Bacteria; Pseudomonadati; Pseudomonadota; Gammaproteobacteria; Enterobacterales; Enterobacteriaceae
Source: RNAcentral